AUCGCUUCUCGGCUCUUUGAGCUAAGAUCAAAUGUGUAGUAUCUGUUCUUAUCAGCUUAAUAUCUGAUACAUCCCCAUAGGGGAUCAGAAUAUUAAUUGCGAUUUUUGAACAAAGGCGAGAACAUGGAGCUUGCUCCAACCUUGCCCGGGUCGACCUGACAUUGCAGUAACGUCGGGAUUGGCUCUCAUAAA
Molecule: small nuclear RNA, 192 nt
Organism: Nylanderia fulva
Lineage: Eukaryota; Metazoa; Arthropoda; Insecta; Hymenoptera; Formicidae
Product: U2 spliceosomal RNA
Source: RefSeq, a predicted model, not a curated record